Molecule: long non-coding RNA, 451 nt
Organism: Vespa crabro (European hornet)
Lineage: Eukaryota; Metazoa; Arthropoda; Insecta; Hymenoptera; Vespidae
Exons: 2
Source: RefSeq, a predicted model, not a curated record
CACACAAAUGUUUAUCUGAAAAUCAGUAGUGGGGAUAGGAAUUUCUUCUCUUUUGUCGCAAGGGCGCCAGGGGCUGCCUGCGUACUAUAUGAAACUUUUCUUUCACGAAAAAUGUCAACAACAACGUUUACGUCAACAGAUCAUCGAGGAAUAGAUUCUUCUGCGGUCGGAUGAGUAUCGUCCGAUGAUAUGUCGUCGAAUAAUUCGAUUCAUCGUCCGAUUCAUAUGCGACAAUAACUUAUAAAGGCUCAAAAAUACUUUGUUACAAAGUUAUAAAAAAGAACAAAAAGAAAAUAGGAAACAACGAAUAGGUUUUCAUUCGAUUAUACGUAUUAUAAAACAUUAGUUAUAUUUAUCUGAUCUAUUUACACAAGGUAUACUUAGGUGUUUUGUACUAAAGUUGAUUCAAUCCCCUCCUUUUUUCUUUUUUUUUUUUUUUUCUUUUUUCAAA